AGUGAACGCUGGCGGUAGGCCUAACACAUGCAAGUCGAACGGCAGCACAGUAAGAGCUUGCUCUUACGGGUGGCGAGUGGCGGACGGGUGGGGAAUACAUCGGAAUCUACUUUUUCGUGGGGGAUAACGUAGGGAAACUGACGCUAAUACCGCAUACGACGUACGGGUGAAAGCAGGGGAUCUUCGGACCUUGCGCGAUUGAAUGAGCCGAUGUCGGAUUAGAUAGUUGGAGGGGUAAAGGCCCACCAAGGCGACGAUCCGUAGCUGGUCUGAGAGGAUGGUAAGCCACACUUGAUCUGAGACACGGUCGAUACUCCUAAGGGAGGCAGCAGUGGCGAAUAUUUGCCAAUGGGCGCAAGCCUGCUCCAGCCAUACCGCGUGGGUCAAGAAGUCCUUCGGGUUGUAAAGCCCUGUUGUUGGGAAAGAAAAGCAGCAGGUUAAUACCCCGCUGUUCUGACGGUACCCAACGAAUAAGCUCCGGCUAACUACGUG
This 492-nucleotide ribosomal RNA is filed under the name uncultured bacterium. RNAcentral describes it as "partial 16S ribosomal RNA". It matches the Rfam family "Bacterial small subunit ribosomal RNA", at positions 29 to 507 of the family's 1533-position model. The record is from RNAcentral.